GCUUGUCUCAAAGAUUAAGCCAUGCAUGUCUAAGUGUAAAUACGUCUACACUGUGAAACUGCGAAUGGCUCAUUAAAUCAGUUAUCGUUUAUUUGAUGAUCUCUUGUUACAUGGAUAACCGUAGUAAUUCUAGAGCUAAUACAUGACUCAAAGACCGACUUACGAAGGUCUGUGUUUAUUAGAUGGAAACCAAAGCGGGGAAACCCGGAUUUAUGGUGAUUCAUAAUAACCCUCCGAUCGGCUAUGCCGACGCAUCAUUCAAGUUUCUGCCCUAUCAGCUUUGGACGGUAGGGUAUUGGCCUACCGUGGCUUUAACGGGUAACGGAGAAUUAGGGUUCGAUUCCGGAGAGGGAGCCUGAGAAAUGGCUACCACAUCCAAGGAAGGCAGCAGG
This 392-nucleotide ribosomal RNA is filed under the name uncultured Chrysophyceae. RNAcentral's name for it is "partial small subunit ribosomal RNA". It matches the Rfam family "Eukaryotic small subunit ribosomal RNA", at positions 30 to 432 of the family's 1831-position model. The record is from RNAcentral. Lineage: Eukaryota; Chrysophyceae.